This 624-nucleotide long non-coding RNA is filed under the name Helianthus annuus (common sunflower). RNAcentral's name for it is "hypothetical non coding rna". Lineage: Eukaryota; Viridiplantae; Streptophyta; Magnoliopsida; Asterales; Asteraceae. The record is from RNAcentral.
UUUGUCUUUGUUGCCAUUUAAGUCUCCUGCAAGACUUCUCUCCCCUCUUUGUCUCUCUCAUCAAAUUAAAUUCAUAUCCACCAAACCCAUUUAUCUCCAUCAAAGCCAUUCCUUUUCUGUUGAUAGUGUUCUUUUUACUUUCUAAUGAUCAUAUGAAUAACAUAUAUUGGGUGAUUCAUUAGAUAUCAUAUGUACUUUUUUUAGAGACGUAGAUAAUUCAUUUGUUUAUCAAAUCUACUAGUAUGAUUGGUGGGUUUGAACAAAGAGAGAGAGAGAGAUUCGAUGAGAAAGAGAUCGGAGAAGGAGAUCGGAGAGAGAGAGAAAGACGGCGGUAAAGGUGGGUGUACUUCGGAGCUCCGAUCUGGUCAGCGACGACAAUAAGUUUCAGUCCGGCUUAUUAUUGGCUGCAAAUUAAACGGGCCGGUGCCGGAACCACCGGCGGCGGUGACGGUGGUUCCGACCAUGGCUGUGAUGGAGGUGAUUAGUGUGAAAUUUGGUGACCAAUUUGCAAGCGUUGCCGGUGCUUUUUUGGUAGAUUUCGCACAGUGAACUAUGAGGGUUUUGGUCCGUUUGGAUUUUUGGGCGGUGAUGAUGCAAAAAAAAAAAAAAAAAAACGUAUAUUUU